AACGAACGCUGGCGGCAUGCCUAACACAUGCAAGUCGAACGAGACCUUCGGGUCUAGUGGCGCACGGGUUCGUAACGCGUGGGAACCUGCCCUUAGGUUCGGAAUAACUCCCCGAAAGGGGUGCUAAUACCGGAUAAUUUCUUCUGACCAAAGAUUUAUCGCCUUUGGAUGGGCCCGCGUUGGAUUAGCUUGUUGGUAGGGUAAAAGCCUACCAAGGCGACGAUCCAUAGCUGGUCUGAGAGGAUGAUCAGCCACACUGGGACUGAGACACGGCCCAGACUCCUACGGGAGGCAGCAGUGGGGAAUAUUGGACAAUGGGCGAAAGCCUGAUCCAGCAAUGCCGCGUGAGUGAUGAAGGCCUUAGGGUUGUAAAGCUCUUUUACCCGGGAUGAUAAUGACAGUACCGGGAGAAUAAGCGCCGGCUAACUCCGUG
Molecule: ribosomal RNA, 433 nt
Filed under: uncultured bacterium
Lineage: Bacteria
Description: partial 16S ribosomal RNA
Rfam family: Bacterial small subunit ribosomal RNA
Source: RNAcentral